Cervus elaphus (red deer) is the source of this 978-nucleotide long non-coding RNA. RefSeq lists it as uncharacterized. The transcript is spliced from 3 exons. The record is from RefSeq and is a predicted model, not a curated record. Lineage: Eukaryota; Metazoa; Chordata; Mammalia; Artiodactyla; Cervidae.
GUCAUGGACUAGGCCCUUGGUGACUGAUAGCUAUGCAGAAUUGUGUCUUACUAGAGUUAUGAAAAUAAGGGUCACAAGAUGGCUUCUCGCCCCCGAGCAUCAUAUUCUCACAACAUUAUCAAGAUUCAACACAGAGAAGCUUCUGGGGUGCAGUCAUCCUGCCAACUUCCCUUGGAAGAAAGAAGCAAUUGACAUGUAUCUUCAACUGCUGUUUGCUUAAUCACGAAAGAACUAUUUCAAAAGCUGAAGGCAGAUGUCUGGUUUGAAACAGAUGCUUUGAUGGUGAUAUUUGUGACUUCUUUACCUUUUGUUCCAAACAAGAAGACUAAAUAUAAAUAGCAGAUAUCGGUAUGACAUCAGGGUUUUGGUUUUUUUUUUUAACAUCUUCCAGUUUUAACCACUAUCAUGACAAGCACAUUUGAGACUUGCAGCAAUAAAUUCCAGAUAUAUGUUCUAAUUUGAAGUGAAAGAGAUGCUUUAAAAGUGACAUAUGUAUCUAAAUCCUGGCUCAUCCUUUGACAUGGAUUUACUAGAUAAGAACAAAGGUCCCAUUUUGCAAUAAAACCUUUGAUGUGAUAAAGAAGCAAAAAGACAAGAUAUCACAAGGUUACUUUCAUAUGUGAAUAAGCCAUCACAAACAUAUAAAUACCUAUUUUUACAUAUGUAAGUCCACAGUUUGGGAUAAUAAGAGGAAUUUUUCUCCUGAAGAAGGAAGCUGUGGUUGACUUCAUUCUCAGAAAUCUUUGGAUAUUUGGUAUUUUUAAAUGUUUUUUUCAUUCAUCUAAGGAAUGACCACAUUGUGAAGAUGCUAACCCUAUGAAUGCAUGCUUGGGUUUAGUGAAAUAUUGGUAAAAAGGAAACAGCAGUUUUGACUCUGGUGAUGGAACCCUCUUCACCUCGGUAGCAUGAGAGACCUACUGUAUUAUAAAUUGCUUCAUUCUUUUUUGCGGAGUCUUAUAUAGCACUUGUGGAGAAAGA